Molecule: ribosomal RNA, 528 nt
Filed under: uncultured Glomus
Lineage: Eukaryota; Fungi; Glomeromycota; Glomeromycetes; Glomerales; Glomeraceae
Description: SSU rRNA
Rfam family: Eukaryotic small subunit ribosomal RNA
Source: RNAcentral
AGCAGCCGCGGUAAUUCCAGCUCCAAUAGCGUAUAUUAAAGUUGUUGCAGUUAAAAAGCUCGUAGUUGAAUUUCGGGAUUAGUACGUUGGUCGUGCCUUCGGUACGUACUGGUGUUACUGAUUCCUACCUUCUGACGAACCAUCAUGUCAUUUAUUUGGUGUGGCGGGGAAUCAGGACUGUUACUUUGAAAAAAUUAGAGUGUUUAAAGCAGGCUCGCGCUUGAAUACAUUAGCAUGGAAUAAUGAAAUAGGACGUUGACCCUAUUUUGUUGGUUUCUAGGAUUGACGUAAUGAUUAAUAGGGAUAGUUGGGGGCAUUAGUAUUCAAUUGUCAGAGGUGAAAUUCUUGGAUUUAUUGAAGACUAACUACUGCGAAAGCAUUUGCCAAGGAUGUUUUCAUUAAUCAAGAACGAAAGUUAGGGGAUCGAAGACGAUCAGAUACCGUCGUAGUCUUAACCAUAAACUAUGCCGACUAAGGGAUCGGAUGAUGUUAUUUUAAUGACUCAUUCGCGCCUUACGGGAAACCAAA